RNAcentral lists this ribosomal RNA (732 nucleotides) under uncultured Acinetobacter sp. RNAcentral describes it as "bacterial SSU rRNA". It matches the Rfam family "Bacterial small subunit ribosomal RNA", at positions 8 to 734 of the family's 1533-position model. The record is from RNAcentral. Lineage: Bacteria; Pseudomonadati; Pseudomonadota; Gammaproteobacteria; Moraxellales; Moraxellaceae.
AGAGUUUGAUCCUGGCUCAGAUUGAACGCUGGCGGCAGGCUUAACACAUGCAAGUCGAGCGGAUGAAAGUAGCUUGCUACUGAAUUUAGCGGCGGACGGGUGAGUAAUACUUAGGAAUCUGCCUAUUAGUGGGGGACAACAUUUCGAAAGGAAUGCUAAUACCGCAUACGCCCUACGGGGGAAAGCAGGGGCUCCUCGGACCUUGCGCUAAUAGAUGAGCCUAAGUCAGAUUAGCUAGUUGGUGGGGUAAAGGCCUACCAAGGCGACGAUCUGUAACGGGUCUGAGAGGAUGAUCCGUCACACUGGGACUGAGACACGGCCCAGACUCCUACGGGAGGCAGCAGUGGGGAAUAUUGGACAAUGGGGGGAACCCUGAUCCAGCCAUGCCGCGUGUGUGAAGAAGGCCUUUUGGUUGUAAAGCACUUUAAGCGAGGAGGAGGCUCCUAUAGAUAAUACCUAUAGAGAGUGGACGUUACUCGCAGAAUAAGCACCGGCUAACUCUGUGCCAGCAGCCGCGGUAAUACAGAGGGUGCAAGCGUUAAUCGGAUUUACUGGGCGUAAAGCGUACGUAGGUGGUCUUUUAAGUCGGAUGUGAAAUCCCUGAGCUUAACUUAGGAAUUGCAUUCGAUACUGGGAGACUAGAGUAUGGGAGAGGAUGGUAGAAUUCCAGGUGUAGCGGUGAAAUGCGUAGAGAUCUGGAGGAAUACCGAUGGCGAAGGCAGCCAUCUGGCC